GAUCAUGGCUCAGGACGAACGCUAGCUACGGGCUUAACACAUGCAAGUCGAGGGGCAGCAUGGUCUUAGCUUGCUAAGACUGAUGGCGACCGGCGCACGGGUGAGUAACACGUAUCCAACCUGCCGUCUACUCUUGGACAGCCUUCUGAAAGGAAGAUUAAUACAAGAUGGCAUCAUGAGUCCGCAUGUUCACAUGAUUAAAGGUAUUCCGGUAGACGAUGGGGA
RNAcentral lists this ribosomal RNA (225 nucleotides) under uncultured bacterium. RNAcentral's name for it is "partial 16S ribosomal RNA". It matches the Rfam family "Bacterial small subunit ribosomal RNA", at positions 15 to 231 of the family's 1533-position model. The record is from RNAcentral.